RNAcentral lists this transfer RNA (96 nucleotides) under Limnoraphis sp. WC205. Its description in RNAcentral is "tRNA-Leu". The record is from RNAcentral. Lineage: Bacteria; Bacillati; Cyanobacteriota; Cyanophyceae; Oscillatoriales; Sirenicapillariaceae.
ACCCCUGUGACGCAAUGGGUAGACGUGCCUCGCUUAGAACGAGGUUGAUGCAGGUACUCUUCGAGAAGGCUUCGCCUACAAAUCCUGUCAGGGAUA